GUGUUUAGGCGUGUGUAUGUAGGUGUGUGUAUAUGUGUUUAGACGUGUGUGGGUGUGUGUUUAGGUGUAGGUGCAUGCAUAUAGAACUAAAUUGUGGAAUUGGGAGGAAUUGGAAUUGAAUUGUAAUUAAAUUCCAAAUCCAUAACAUUUUGCAGUACCGAACAUUGGAUUUGGAAUUGGAGACCAAUUCCGGAUGCCCAAUUCCAUGAUACCGAACGGAGCCGUAGUGUUUUCUAAUUGUAAAAUAUAUGAGGAGGUUAUUGCUGAAUUUUUUUAAAGUUGUGUUUGUUGUGUCGAUAUUAGCACAAGAACCUCUUCCUCUCUCCGGGCAAGUUCCCACUCAGGACAAAAGAAGGUAUUAUGGUCAUAAAUUCCUACCUGAAUUGGAUCACUGGAUGUGGUAGUUAUUCGACUCUCUUUACGACUUCUAAAUUUGUAGGAACUGGAAUUGUUUGAAACCUUACAUGGCUUCUUCAUUCAGGUAACUAACUAUGCAUUCCUACUCACCCUUUGACAUCUGCAUGUCAGCAUACUUAUCAUAUCCUAUUGCAGAAAGUUGUUAUACCUGUCUUAUUCUGUUCCAAAAAUGUUUCAUAGAAGGCUAAUUAUUCAUUGCUUGGCAAGAUCAAUUGUGUGAUGGAGUGAAGUUGUAAUCUUGUUUGUGGUUCUCUUGCAUAUGGUUCAUCCAGGAAACACAAUGAGCUCAAGAGGUUGGUAAAUAUGAAAGCAUACUGGAAGUCGAGUCUCAUAUUUCUGCUUUUGACUUCAUGGCCUUGUGAUAGAAAUUGGGAUGCUGUUAUCUAUAGAAGAAGAUACAUGCUUUCAUUUACAGGUAGCAAGUGCUCACAGCACUACAUCAUAAAUACUCAGUGAGAUCAUAUUAUUAUACAGAAAUAUGGCAUUAUGUGAAGCUUUUGCUCAAAUUUCCAUUUAUGUUUAAUUUUGUUCGGGUAUGGAUACUAUAUAGUAAUUGAUAUCAAUUUGGUACUUGUCCAUGCUUGGGAGAAAUAGCUCACUUAGUAAUGUGUUGUCAGCUGAGACUUCUCCCUGUUUUUUAUUAGGUGCAAGAAAGGAUUGAUUAUAUUGCAAGGUUGUAUGGUGCAGUUCUUGCAUAAAAUCUACCUUGUUUAGGUAGAUGGAAGGGCGCGGAACAAGAAGCAGUUGAAAACAGCGAACUCAUUUUCAUAUCUACUGGAAUUGUAGAUUUAUAACCACAUUUAUGUGAAUUACAGAAUUUAGUCUGCCAUUGAGGUCUGUGUGUUCAAAUCAUUCGAGUGUUUAUUGGAUCAGGUCCUUUUCAUUUCUCGAUUUGGUUUAUCUAAUUCUGUCAAUUUGUAUUGGUUAA
Molecule: non-coding RNA, 1345 nt
Organism: Salvia hispanica
Lineage: Eukaryota; Viridiplantae; Streptophyta; Magnoliopsida; Lamiales; Lamiaceae
Source: RefSeq, a predicted model, not a curated record